RNAcentral lists this non-coding RNA (29 nucleotides) under Mus musculus (house mouse). Lineage: Eukaryota; Metazoa; Chordata; Mammalia; Rodentia; Muridae. The record is from RNAcentral.
UAUAAUCCACCAUCAAGAGAAGUUCAGGC